GUGGGUAGUUUGACUGGGGCGGUCUCCUCCUAAAGAGUAACGGAGGAGCACGAAGGUUGGCUAAUCCUGGUCGGACAUCAGGAGGUUAGUGCAAUGGCAUAAGCCAGCUUGACUGCGAGCGUGACGGCGCGAGCAGGUGCGAAAGCAGGUCAUAGUGAUCCGGUGGUUCUGAAUGGAAGGGCCAUCGCUCAACGGAUAAAAGGUACUCCGGGGAUAACAGGCUGAUACCGCCCAAGAGUUCAUAUCGACGGCGGUGUUUGGCACCUCGAUGUCGGCUCAUCACAUCCUGGGGCUGAAGUAGGUCCCAAGGGUAUGGCUGUUCGCCAUUUAAAGUGGUACGCGAGCUGGGUUUAGAACGUCGUGAGACAGUUCGGUCCCUAUCUGCCGUGGGCGCUGGAGAACUGAGGGGGGCUGCUCCUAGUACGAGAGGACCGGAGUGGACGCAUCACUGGUGUUCGGGUUGUCAUGCCAAUGGCACUGCCCGGUAGCUAAAUGCGGAAGAGAUAAGUGCUGAAAGCAUCUAAGCACGAAACUUGCCCCGAGAUGAGUUCUCCCUGAGACUUAGAGUCUCCUGAAGGAACGUUGAAGACGACGACGUUGAUAGGCCGGGUGUGUAAGCGCAGCGAUGCGUUGAGCUAACCGGUACU
This 647-nucleotide ribosomal RNA is filed under the name Salmonella enterica subsp. enterica serovar Saintpaul. RNAcentral's name for it is "partial 23S ribosomal RNA". It matches the Rfam family "Bacterial large subunit ribosomal RNA", at positions 2261 to 2902 of the family's 2925-position model. RNAcentral also lists the same sequence under 1 other name. Lineage: Bacteria; Pseudomonadati; Pseudomonadota; Gammaproteobacteria; Enterobacterales; Enterobacteriaceae. The record is from RNAcentral.